This 424-nucleotide long non-coding RNA is filed under the name Helianthus annuus (common sunflower). RNAcentral describes it as "hypothetical non coding rna". Lineage: Eukaryota; Viridiplantae; Streptophyta; Magnoliopsida; Asterales; Asteraceae. The record is from RNAcentral.
GGUUUCCUUCACCUACACCUGCCAGUCAUUCCGUCUUCUCUCACUUUAUCCCCUUCUCUCUAUGUCUCUCUGGGUUAAACGAGGAAGAUGAAGAAGACAGCGGUGAAGCCAUCGCUCCCACCAUCGCACUAAAUCAGAAGCCCUAAAUCUCAAACAAGAAAUUAACCGAUAACAUAUGCUGGGACAGUUCACUUAAAGAGGUUGGUGUGGAUGAAAGACCGCUGAAGGCGGGACCAAAUUCAGUAGCUUUGAAAAGUGUCGAAACACGAAAAGAGGUACAAUAUGAUUACCAGAUUAAAAGGUGCAUUGGUGCUUGAAGAUAUACAUAUUUUCUACAUAUAUCAGUGGUAAUCACAAAAAGAAAUGAUCACAUCUCACCAUCAAAUUAAAGCCUUGACCGGAGAAAUAACCAUUGUUGGCAACU